UGGGGAAUUUUGGACAAUGGGCGAAAGCCUGAUCCAGCAAUGCCGCGUGUGUGAAGAAGGCCUUCGGGUUGUAAAGCACUUUUGUCCGGAAAGAAAUCCUUGGCUCUAAUACAGUCGGGGGAUGACGGUACCGGAAGAAUAAGCACCGGCUAACUACGUGCCAGCAGCCGCGGUAAUACGUAGGGUGCAAGCGUUAAUCGGAAUUACUGGGCGUAAAGCGUGCGCAGGCGGUUUGCUAAGACCGAUGUGAAAUCCCCGGGCUCAACCUGGGAACUGCAUUGGUGACUGGCAGGCUAGAGUAUGGCAGAGGGGGGUAGAAUUCCACGUGUAGCAGUGAAAUGCGUAGAGAUGUGGAGGAAUACCGAUGGCGAAGGCAGCCCCCUGGGCCAAUACUGGCGCUCAUGCACGAAAGCGUGGGGAGCAAACAGGAUUAGAUACCCUGGUAGUCCACGCCCUAAAACGAUGUCAACUAGUUGUUGGGGAUUCAUUUCCUUAGUAACGUAGCUAACGCGUGAAGUUGACCGCCUGGGGAGUACGGUCGCAAGAUUAAAACUCAAAGGAAUUGACGGGGUCAUAGCUGUUUCCU
Molecule: ribosomal RNA, 586 nt
Filed under: uncultured bacterium
Lineage: Bacteria
Description: partial 16S ribosomal RNA
Rfam family: Bacterial small subunit ribosomal RNA
Source: RNAcentral